CUGUGCAAAGGUAGCAUAAUCAUUAGUUUUUUAAUUGAAGGCUUGUAUGAAUGGUCUGACAAAGGAAAAGCUGUCUUUAUUUUUAAUUUUGAAUUUAACUUUUAAGUGAAAAGGCUUAAAUAAUUUUAAGGGACGAUAAGACCCUAUAAAUCUUUAUAUUAGAAUAUUAUCUUGAAAUUUAAUAGUUAGUUUGAAUUUAACAAGAAAAUAAUAAAUAUUUUGUUGGGGUGAUGAGAAUAUAAAAAUAACUGUUCUUAAAAAAAACAAAGUUGUUUGAAAAUAAUUUAUAGAUCCUUUUUUGAAGAUUAAAAGUUUAAGUUACUUUAGGGAUAACAGCGUUAUUUUUUUUGAGAGUUCUUAUCGAAAAAAAAGUUUGCGACCUCGAUGUUGAAUUAAAAUUUCUUUACGGUGUAGAAGUUGUAAAAGAGAGUCUGUUCGACUUUUGAAAUUUU
Molecule: ribosomal RNA, 452 nt
Filed under: Paramunida crinita
Lineage: Eukaryota; Metazoa; Arthropoda; Malacostraca; Decapoda; Munididae
Description: partial 16S ribosomal RNA
Rfam family: Bacterial large subunit ribosomal RNA
Source: RNAcentral